RNAcentral lists this long non-coding RNA (863 nucleotides) under Homo sapiens (human). Its description in RNAcentral is "HSALNT0343950". Lineage: Eukaryota; Metazoa; Chordata; Mammalia; Primates; Hominidae. The record is from RNAcentral.
GUGCAUUUUAAAGUGAUUGAUUUUAUGUGGAACAAAUUUCACUUUAAUUAUAAAAAGUGAAUAAACUUUUAGAAGCUAACCUUGGAAGAAGGUAGAGACUGGAAGGGAUCACAAGAAAGGCUUCUGGGAUGUUGACCGUGCAGCAUAACUGUCUGACAUUGGCAUGCCAUUUGUAAACUGUCAAAGUGAUGGUUGGGAGUGUAGCAGUGAGGACAACCAGAGGUCACUCUCAUCACCAUCUUGGUUUGGGUUGAUUUCUCUAAGAAGUACAUGCUGAAAUGAAGAUAAGAGUACAAAAUAUUUAUCGGAGAGUAGUAACACAGAGGAGACACAGGAUUUGGCAGAAACACUAAACCAUGGUGAAGACCGGCUAAAGUCUCUUUGUCCAAAGGGGAGCUCUAAAGUAAAUAUGAGCCAUUAAGGGAGCCCCACACUGGAUGGAAAUGGCCAAGCCUUUUUACAACCACCUUCUCCUUGAGACACUGCCUGCAAUUCACCCUGGGAAAGCAAAACCUCAACUGUUUCUGCCUCAUUCAUUCUUUGUCAGUGCCGUAAGAAGAUUGAGAUUUCAGCUUGUAACUGUUGAAGCAAAACCUAAAGUGGUUAAUAAUGGGAGUUUGUCACAACUAUCUUAACACAAAUAUAAAAUAUUUGCAUGAACUGUAAUAACCUUUUAUUUAUAAAUUAAAAACUUAUUGAUAAAAUACAGAUUUCAAUAACAUUAGUAAAAAAUCUUUUCACUUUUCUUAAGUAAUUCAGAAUAGAUCAUCUUUCAUUUUAGUUCCUACACUUGAUCCUUAGAAGAAAAAGAAACCUAUUUUUUUUAUAAUGCAAACACUUUAGUUUAACAUAAACAAGAAAAA